Ribosomal RNA from Lepisosteus oculatus (spotted gar), 119 nucleotides. The record is from Ensembl. Lineage: Eukaryota; Metazoa; Chordata; Actinopteri; Semionotiformes; Lepisosteidae.
GCCAGCAGCCAUAUCACCCUGCAACUCACAACUGGCAACCUACUGAAGCCAAGCAGGUGUGAGCCUGGUCAGUACCUGGAUGGGAGACCUCCUGGGAAAAACUAAGGUUGCUGCGGAAG